AUCUCAGUUGCCCAAGACUUCUCAGUUACCAAUAGGUUGGGCUAGCUUUGGACCCAGGUCAGUCUGGCUCCAUAUUUUACCCACUUCUUCUCCUUCCCCAAUCCUAAAACACUUGGGAGCCGAAAGGAAAAGUCCUAAUGGAACUUGGGUGUUCCCUGAGGGGUCCAAAGGGGAUUUCCUGGAGUCAGAAUGGCCAAGUUUCCUGAAGUUAAACAGUUGACACAGACAAAUAACAGACACUCCCAGAAACAUGAAACCAACAGCCAACGAACCAACCAACAGUCAACCAACCGACCUACAGCACCACCAACAAAAAAUGGUCUUUUCAACAGAUGAAGAAUCUGAGCUUCAGGAAGGUUAAGCAGGUUUGCCUGAGAUCACAAAGCUAGCCAUAGAAGAGGAAGGACGUGUGAAUGUGGAAGAUGGGUUGUGAUGGUCUGACUUUCCUGGCCUGAGGACAGCAGCAACAAUCCUGAAUUCCUCUGGAUGGGUCUCUUCCACCCGUCUGGAGUGGAUCUGGGACAGAAUGGGGUCCUAGGAUCUCAACCGAGCAUGAUGAAAUUUAACUCUGAGUUUCCCAAGGCCCCCAGACAAACAGAGAAACAAGACCAGUAUGUAACACUCCACGUGAGCUAUCUUCGGUUCAUUAAGUCCAUGAGCAGUUACUGAUUACCAUGCUCUGCUGAUCUCUGCGCCCAGUCCCAAGGAAACAAGAAGUCAGGCACCAUGGAUCUCUGCAGUCAAAAGGACUCCAGCAGCACUGUCCAGAGGAAAUGUAAGAACCACAAAUGGAAGCCACAUAUGCGAUUCUAGUUUUUCUAACAGCCACAUGAAAAAAAACACCAAAAGAAACAGGUGAACUUAUUUUAAUAGCCUGUUUUAACUCAAUAUACAUAAAAUGUUAUUGUC
This is a long non-coding RNA of Mustela erminea (ermine), 909 nucleotides long. RefSeq lists it as uncharacterized. The transcript has 3 exons. The record is from RefSeq and is a predicted model, not a curated record. Lineage: Eukaryota; Metazoa; Chordata; Mammalia; Carnivora; Mustelidae.